AUGGCUCCAGUGCGCUCAUGUCCAAUAUGCUAUAAGGUUGUGGUUGGCUUUAGUCAGCACCUUAGGUAUGUACACCAUGUGAGGAACAGUGAGGAGAGGGUACUCCUCUGUAAGUGGCAGUCAGGCCGUGUCAAUGUCAGGCAGGAGCAGUGUCCAGUGUCAGGAUGCUCCACACAUCUUAGCAGACUGGACCGGCAUAUAGACUCCCACUCAGAGCUCAACAGAGCACAGAGGAGACAGGUUUUAGAGGACCUUAGGAGACGGCUGACGAUGGAGAGGCUGGCGGUGUUGAGGGCAUCGACCCCUGACAUCCCUAUGGCGACAGAUUUAGACAUUGUGGUAAGGAGAGAAGAGGAGGAGGAGGAAAUGUUAUGUUCACCUACAGAAGCAGAGGAGGAAGUGGACUGCAAAGAGGAUUCCUGCCACUGCCAUGCACCAAUCCUGAGACUGAAAAAAGCUGUAAAAGAGAGGGAUGAGGCACUGCAUACAAGAAGUGAGACCAACAAAUCCAUUAAAGAGGACAACCUUAAGUUGAUCUCUGAUCUGCAAAGGUUGAGAAAGAAGUACCAGCUGCUGAAAAGGCAGAUGGGGAUUGGCAUGGUGAAGGCCCUCAACGUUCAGGCAGAGUCAGACACAGACACAAAUCAAGAGGAGCAGGACCAAGCUAGAGGUUCAGGGGACCAGAGAGAGGAGCCUACAGUGUCCGGGUCAAGCUGCAAACUCAUCUUCCCGGGCUCUGCUAUGAGUGUGUUUAUCGAGGGAUUCAGGAAGACCUGUGAGGGCCCUAAUCCAAAUUAUAAGCUGAGUGAAAAUUGUGCCUCAAAGGUCAAGAGGGUGACGCAAUUUUUAAACUACAUGGCGAAGAAUGAGACCUACCAGUCCUCUCUCAUUUUCCUGACAGACCAUGACAAAAUAAGGAAGUAAGCAGAAUAAUUUUUUCUCUCUAGCCUCACAAGCAUUAACCAACAAUACAGUAUUUGAUUGUAUGAUUUGUGUGUGUGUGUGUGUGUGUGUGUGUGUGUGUGUGUGUGUGUGUUUUUAGAUGGGUUCAAUUCCUCCAGAAGAACAAGGCAAUCACCACAGUCAACCACUACACCUUGACUAUUGGUGCAUUUCUUAAAUAUUCUGAGGAGACCCCUCCAUCUGGCUGCCGGCUGACCGUGAACCAAUGGAGGGGGAUCAACCGGUUGAUGAAGGGCAUUAGCAAGUCCAUGAGACGACCAGUUUCCCUUCACCAGAUAAAGGUGAAGGACAACAAGGAAGGCAAGGUGGUGUCCAAAAAGAGCCUGCUGGAGUGCCAGUCUCUUGCCAAGGCCAAAAUCCCUCAAGUGCUGAGUAAGUUUUUCUCAAUCUGUGAUGUCACUGUUUUUACACACUUAUAGACGUCAGAGAUGUAUAGAAUGCAUUAUGGAGUGGGAUUAUGAAGCUGCCUUUUUUUAUUUUCAUGUUCACAGAAACAUUGGAAGAAACAAGGACACAGAGGAAUCAGUACAGGUUUUAUGGGUACCUGUGUGCCUACUUUACAUCCAUAUACGGCCACAGACCAGGCCUAUAUAAAAACAUGUUGGUGAAAGAGGUGGAGGAGGCAAAAUGUGACCAGUCUGGGGUGUACCUGAUCAAUGUAAGUCUAUGAAAUACAGCUGGCUGUGUUUAUUUGUUUGUUUGCUUGGUUGGUUAUCUUUGGAAACAAUUGCAGUUUCUGUUCAAUUUCUAUUAGGUGGGGGAACACAAAACAAAUCGGGAGUACGGCAUGGUCCAGAUGUCGCUGACAAAGGAGGAGUACAGCUGGUUUUCCGACUUCCUCAAAUUCAAGCACUGUCUCUUAGGGGGAAAGAAGGCCCAGCACUUCUUUUUCAAUUCAACAAACACUCAGAUGAAGAACCUGCCUGCCUACCUGAGGGAGGUGUGGAAGGAGAUGGGUCUGCCCGAAUGUCCUUCAUUCACUGACCUGAGGACCUCCAUUGUCACUCAUGUAGGUCAGAUUAGAUAGGAAUCUAAUUAAUGUAAGAUCCUAUUCUAUUGUUGUCUGAAGUAAUAUCAAUAAUAUCAUAUAUUUGUGUGUGUGUGUGUGUGUGUGUCUUACAGGUAAAAAACAUGCUCCCAAAGGUUGACAGGGAAAGGGUGGCCAACUUCAUGUGCCACAACAUCCAGACGGCAGACAAAUAUUAUGCCAUGAAUUUAAAUCCAACCCAAGCAAAUGAAACCAGGGCACUCUUUGAGGCUGCACUGAAGGGGGAAGAUAACACAGUCGCCGCAGAGAACCAGCCCUCCACCUCAGGAGAAAGAAAGCAGAAGGUGAGAGAGGAUGCCUCCCUCUCCGACGGGAGCACCACCCCUGAAGAGACCAAGGUGAUGUACCAGGAGUCUGGCACGUCCGCCGGUGACUCGGAAGAGGAGGAAGAGGAUGAAGAUGAGGAACAGAUGGCCAGACAACUUCCAGUAAGAUCAGCUAUUCUGACAGGACACAUUUGAUUAUCAAAAUGUACUUGUAAACUAUGUAACAGUCAAGUGUGAAUUCUGAGAUAUAUCUAAUUUCUUGUGUUUGCUCUGUCAGGAGACACCUUCCAAGGUGACCAAUCCUCAGGUGGAGAUGGAACUUACCCCAAAGAGGAAGCGGAGCAUCUGCACACGCCGCAUGGAGGUCGCCAUCAGCCCCAUGCUAGUCUCACCCCUCAAAGUGAGGCUCAAGUCGCCCCCCCACCAGUCCCUCAUUGUCACAUUAAAAGGGAUGCAACAACUAAACUCAAAUAAAGUCAGACUAAAAAAUGCCAUUGCCUCAAGGAGGUUAAAGCUGCAGGAGAAGGUGCAAAAGAGAGGAGGGGACCCCUGAUGCAGCUCGAAGGAAGGGGAGCCGACCAACAACAAGACUUCCUCUUCCAAAUAGUCAUGUAGAUUGUUUUAGACUCUCACAUUUAUACUGUUCUGAUUUUGUUUGGUUUGAUUUUCAAUUUUGGUGUGCUUGUUUACAUUUUAGAAGUGUAAAAUGUGUGUAAUUUAGUCUAACUGUCUGUUCAAUUUUCUAUUUUGGUGUGAUUCUUUAUAAUGUAAAGGUUUGUUCUGUUUUAUUAAAUAACUAGUUUAGUAAUUAUUUGUGUUGUGCUUUCUUUAAGGUUAUAUUCUAACUGUCUGUUCAAUUUUCUAUUUUGGUGUGAUUCUUUAUAAUGUAAAGGUUUGUUCUGUUUUAUUAAAUAACUAGUUGAGUAAUUCUUUGUGUUGUGCUUUCUUUAAGGUUUAUAUUUAGUUUGUCACUUAAUUUGUAAGUGUUAAACAUUCACUGUCUUGUGUUGUUGUCUGUGAAGGUAGGAACAAAUA
This 3312-nucleotide long non-coding RNA is filed under the name Oncorhynchus mykiss (rainbow trout). RNAcentral's name for it is "lncRNA (ENSOMYG00000065377.1)". The record is from RNAcentral. Lineage: Eukaryota; Metazoa; Chordata; Actinopteri; Salmoniformes; Salmonidae.